UGUCCCAUAAGACCACAAGACGGCAUCGUCCAGGGGUCAAAGCUCCGCAAGGGGCGCUUGAGGAGGAACCCGAGUCCUAUCAUGGUAGUUGGUGAGGUAACGGCUCACCAAGCCUACGACGGGUAGCCGGCCUGAAAGGGUGAUCGGCCACACUGGCACUGAGACACGGGCCAGACUCCUACGGGAGGCAGCAGUGGGGAAUUUUGGACAAUGGGGGCAACCCUGAUCCAGCGACGCCGCGUGGAGGACGAAGGUCUUCGGAUUGUAAACUCCUUUCGGAGGGGAUGAAUGUCUGCGUGAAUAACGCAGAGUGACAGUACCCUCUGAAUAAGCCACGGCUAACUACGUGCCAGCAGCCGCGGUAAUACGUAGGUGGCAAGCGUUACUCGGAAUCACUAGGCGUAAAGCGCAGGUAGGCGGUUCGGUAAGUCUUUUGUGAAAGCUCCUGGCUCAACUGGGAGAGGUCAAGGGAAACUGCCGGGCUAGAGUGUGGUAGGGGAUACUGGAAUUCCUGGUGUAGCGGUGAAAUGCGUAGAUAUCAGGAGGAAUACCUAUGGCGAAAGCAGGUAUCUGGGCCAUCACUGACGCUGA
This 591-nucleotide ribosomal RNA is filed under the name uncultured bacterium. RNAcentral describes it as "bacterial SSU rRNA". It matches the Rfam family "Bacterial small subunit ribosomal RNA", at positions 167 to 749 of the family's 1533-position model. The record is from RNAcentral.